This 73-nucleotide transfer RNA is filed under the name Canis lupus familiaris (dog). It matches the Rfam family "tRNA". Rfam says of the family: Transfer RNA (tRNA) molecules are approximately 80 nucleotides in length. Lineage: Eukaryota; Metazoa; Chordata; Mammalia; Carnivora; Canidae. The record is from Rfam by way of RNAcentral.
ACCUGGCUGGCUCAGUUGGUGGAGCAUGUGACUCUUGGUCUCGGGGUUGUGGGUUUGAAUCCCACAUUGGGUG